CCGCGGUAAUACGUAGGGUGCGAGCGUUAAUCGGAAUUACUGGGCGUAAAGCGCACGUAGGCGGCUUGUUAAGUCGGGGGUGAAAUCCUGGAGCUCAACUCCAGAACUGCCCUCGAUACUGAUGAGCUCGAGUCCGGGAGAGGUGAGUGGAACUGCGAGUGUAGAGGUGAAAUUCGUAGAUAUUCGCAAGAACACCAGUGGCGAAGGCGGCUCACUGGCCCGGUACUGACGCUGAGGUGCGAAAGCGUGGGGAGCAAACAGG
RNAcentral lists this ribosomal RNA (262 nucleotides) under uncultured bacterium. RNAcentral's name for it is "partial 16S ribosomal RNA". It matches the Rfam family "Bacterial small subunit ribosomal RNA", at positions 515 to 776 of the family's 1533-position model. The record is from RNAcentral.